Molecule: ribosomal RNA, 501 nt
Filed under: uncultured bacterium
Lineage: Bacteria
Description: partial 16S ribosomal RNA
Rfam family: Bacterial small subunit ribosomal RNA
Source: RNAcentral
ACUCAAAGGAAUUGACGGGGGCCCGCACAAGCGGUGGAGCAUGUGGUUCAAUUCGACGCAACGCGAAGAACCUUACCUGGGCUCGAACGGCUGCCGACUGUUCCUGGAAACAGGGACUUUCCCGCAAGGGACGCGCAGUCGAGGUGCUGCAUGGCUGUCGUCAGCUCGUGUCGUGAGAUGUUGGGUUAAGUCCCGCAACGAGCGCAACCCUUGUCCUGUGUUACCAUGCCGAAAGGCGGCACUCGCAGGAGACCGCCAGCGAUAAGCUGGAGGAAGGUGGGGAUGACGUCAAGUCCUCAUGGCCUUUAUGUCCAGGGCUACACACGUGCUACAAUGGCCGGUACAAAGCGCUGCGAAGUCGCAAGACGGAGCCAAUCGCAAAAAACCGGUCUCAGUUCGGAUUGCAGGCUGCAACUCGCCUGCAUGAAGCUGGAAUCGCUAGUAAUGCUAUAUCAGAACGAUAGCGUGAAUACGUUCCCGGGCCUUGUACACACCGCCCGU